This is a long non-coding RNA of Beta vulgaris subsp. vulgaris (sugar beet), 887 nucleotides long. RefSeq lists it as uncharacterized. The transcript has 2 exons. NCBI's taxonomy places the organism in Eukaryota, Viridiplantae, Streptophyta, Magnoliopsida, Caryophyllales, Amaranthaceae. The record is from RefSeq and is a predicted model, not a curated record.
UUAUUUAGCAAAAAAAACCUAAUUUGUUCCACAGGUGGUUUGUUAUGACAUAAUAAAUGAGACCUCUUCUUUAAAAAGGUGGUCUUUUUGAACCUUAUCAAAAGUUUUUAAUAUUAAAGAAACCACUUAUUCCUAUUAAGUGGUUAUUUUGAUUUUAUAUUUUAAAAUUUUUUUUUUCAUAUAUUCAUGUACGUGUUUUCAGGUAUAUAAUAACUAACUCCUUAAAAAAAAAAAGUAUAUAAUAACUAUAAAAAAAAACGCUAUCAAAACAAAGCAACUUAAACUGAUCUUCCACUACUCUCUCACACUCUCGCUAAACCUACUUCAAGCGGUUCAAGGGAUCAAGGCAAGGUUUUCUACUGCUCAUACUGAAUUUUGCUCACACGAAUUUUGACAGUUUCCAAUAAUAUAUUUUCAUCUUGUAUUAUGUUGGUUCCCACAAGGUUUCUUUUGAAUUGAUUGCUAGAACUUGCGACUGCUGCUUGGAGUUGCUCGAUUUUGGCGAGAGAAAUCUGACCCCUGUUGUCGGAGAUUGAAGCUCGACUUUUCGUUUUAAUUCAGUACUUUGGCGGAGUUACAACUGAAUUUUCUCAAAAUAAGCUUGAUGAGCUCAUAGUCUUGUGGAUCAAAUAUGUGGAUGAAUAUAAACAAGUGGAUGAAGAAGAAUUGGAAGAUAAUGACCAUUUUAAUUAGGAGUGUGUAUUUUCUUUUUGAGCGGGAUUAGGGAGGUGCUUCUAUUUUUGUGCACAUGAAUUGGAAGAAACAUGCCUAGGUGUUCUAUUAUUUUUUUAUAACUUAGUUGAAUUUUUGGAAUCUUUUAAACAUUAUAUGUGAUUUUGUAGUGAAUGAUAUUAAAUGAAUGAAAAAGUAUUCCAAUUUUAAAGUCA